AGAACGAACGCUGGCGGCAUGCCUAAUACAUGCAAGUCGAACGAACACUUCGGUGUUAGUGGCGCACGGGUGCGUAACGCGUGGGAAUCUGCCCUUGGGUUCGGAAUAACAGUUGGAAACGACUGCUAAUACCGGAUGAUAUCGAAAGAUCAAAGAUUUAUACGCCCAGGGAUGAGCCCGCGUAGGAUUAGCUAGUUGGUGAGGUAAAGGCUCACCAAGGCGACGAUCCUUAGACUGGUCUGAGAGGAUGAUCAGCCACACUGGGACUGAGACACGGCCCAGACUCCUACGGGAGGCAGCAGUAGGGAAUAGUGGACAAUGGGCGCGAAGCCUGAUCCGAGCAAUGCCGCGUGAGUGAUGAAGGCCUUAGGGUUGUAAAGGUCUACGUUUUACCGAGUAUGAUAAUGACAGUAUCGG
This 417-nucleotide ribosomal RNA is filed under the name uncultured soil bacterium. Its description in RNAcentral is "bacterial SSU rRNA". It matches the Rfam family "Bacterial small subunit ribosomal RNA", at positions 26 to 481 of the family's 1533-position model. The record is from RNAcentral.